This is a long non-coding RNA of Ruditapes philippinarum (Manila clam), 643 nucleotides long. RefSeq lists it as uncharacterized. The record is from RefSeq and is a predicted model, not a curated record. Lineage: Eukaryota; Metazoa; Mollusca; Bivalvia; Venerida; Veneridae. The transcript has 4 exons.
UCGUCAGAGAUGGACUUCACGCUGAUCACUUGUCUUCUAAGAUGCUUGAAGUGUUUUUGGAUUGAAUAAGAAAUUUGACUGGAACACAAAACCUAUUGCAACCGAUUUAACAGUUGAGGCAGACAUAUAUCGGUUUAAAAGCCUAUCGAAAUGAAAUAUGUCAUGUACCUACGACAACUGUUAUACAACCCAAUGCCUUUGUCAAUUGGUGGAAUGACAUUGAGCAGAUACUUGUUCGACGAAGUUCUCCAGCUCUGAACAUUCAUCAAGCGAUAGCCGAUUUUGAAGGUUGUCCUCUAGAUCCAGAGGAAGAGAAAAGGAUACAAGAAGAAAUAAAAAGGUGGAAGGACUAUGAAGCCGAUGUUGAUCGAUUGAAUGAGGAAAUGAAAAAAGUGCAAACAGAUGUUAUAGAAGUGAAGAAAGAAGUAGAAGCAGAGUUUACUGGAAUGAAGAAAGAAAUCGAGGCGAUAAAAGAACGACAAGAUGCAGAUGCCACUGCAAAACAGACGGAAGAGGAAAAGUAUCAAACUCACAAGAAGGGUAAGUAAUUAUUACUACAUUUCUUUAUCGAUUGAGCCAAGGGUACGUAAAAAUGAUAUACUUUUACAUGAAAGACAGAACAGCAAGUGAAUAUUGGUGUACG